This is a long non-coding RNA of Crotalus tigris (Tiger rattlesnake), 3439 nucleotides long. RefSeq lists it as uncharacterized. The transcript has 2 exons. Lineage: Eukaryota; Metazoa; Chordata; Lepidosauria; Squamata; Viperidae. The record is from RefSeq and is a predicted model, not a curated record.
AACACUUUCCUGGUGUGACUCGAAAUGCUGUAACUAAGUUCAUCACUAAGCUGACAUUUGAAAUGAAGAUUCUUGCUGCAGUUUGAAAUUAAAAUUCUUGAUGCUGAAUAAUUAACAUCUAAUUACAGGAUAAAGGAAAGAUCUUUUAGUAUCUCAAGUUUUGGUACAGAAAAAUACAUGUAAAUAUAAAGCAUUCAUGGUUAUGUUCCUAAAAGAAUCCAAUAUACAAUGGAAAAGUGGGGUGGUAAUAUUUCUACUCUGACAGGCUGCGAUAUUUAGCCAAACAAUGAAAUAAAAAAAACCCAACAUUAAUAGGCAGAGAGGUGUGCACAUCUCUUCAAAUCAUUACCAAUUCUAGCAAUUGCCUGGACUAGUCUGCAAUUUUCAGAAGCAACUUGCAAUUGCCUUCUCUUCGUAGGAAUGAGUGACUGUCCCAAGGUCACAUGAAUGGCUUUGUGCCUAAAAUAGGAAAAAUUCAGAGUCUCUGAUGUCUUAACUACUAUACCAACUGGCUCUCAUUAAUAGGGAUAAAUUAUCAAAAAGCUAACAGAUAAAUCUGGUAAGGAAACAGGAGCAGAAAAAUGGGAUUGAUUUAGACCUCAAGAUGGAACGUGUAAAGCCAUGAAGCAUGCAAGAAGUUGGUUACCAAAUACUGAGAAGAAAUUGAGAAGUUGUGUCAAUGUAAAAAUGUAUAAUGUCUUUUGGGAAAAAUAAAUUAUAGAAAGAGUACAAUAAAAUAUAGUUAUAGUGUAGAUUGAUGAUACAAGACAGAGAAGGCCAAAGGAUAUUGUGAUUGACAUAGAGUUAUAGUAGGAGCUCUGUCCUGUUGAAAUCAAACUAAGGCUGCAGAUCUGAACCCACAUUACAUCUUAGAGAGCUAUUAAUUUUAUUCAUUUGUCCAUUUACAUCUCACAAUUUUUCCAAGUAGUACAUAACAAUAUGUAUGGUUAUGAAUUACUUUCACCUGUUUUAUUUUUACAAGUUUGUAAAGUAGAUAAUUGAGCAACAGUAUCUGUGUUCACAUAUUUUAUUAAGCCAACUCUAUAAUGUACCAAAGGCAUAAUAUCCCCUUUUAUAUGCAGUAUUAUACAUAAUGAAAACAAAGUAUAUAUGACUUAGAACAAUGACUGGACCCAGGCAGUUUCAGUCUCAAGGUCACCCAAAUGGUCAUAAAUGAACGAGCAUUUCCUACUCUAGUUCUUCACACUGCCGCUAUACAGCAUUGGCUCUAAAUACCUAAAUAGUUGUAACUGUAUUCAUUUUUUUUCUUCUAUUCAACUUUGUUUGAUUCAUGUAGACUGCCUGUACAAGUUUCUACAGUUUUCUUGGCAAGAUUUUCAGAAGUGGUUUGCCAUUGCCUCCUUCCUGAGGCCAAGAGAAAGGGACUGGCUCAAUAUAUUAACCACUAUACCAAAUUGAUUUUCAACUGUUAUUUAUACUAAUGUACAAGCAGAUACAUAAAAUGGUCUACAACAUCUGUACUGUUCUCCAGGUUUAGUCUGCAUCAGAUACACCUAAAUAAAAUGUCACAAAUGAAUUGAAGUGUGUUUGAAUUUUUUUUUAAAUGUAGCAAUCCUGUAUUAUGGCUAUUCAGCCAUUUUCACAUAUGUUACUUCCAAUACUUGAUUAGCUCCAACAUAUUAAGAAAACAGCAAAGUGUACCAAACACAAAGCAGAAGCAUUAGCAAGAUACAAGUUCAAUUUCUUCAUAUAGUUAUAUAGAAUAAAAGCCUGAACUUGAGUCUCAUCUUGGCCUAUAGUUUAAUUUGUCAUUCAAAGGUUUCUAUAAAUGUACUUUUGGCUUUGGGAAAUAAAGAAAGGGAAAAAGAAAUAAGCACUCUCCAAAAUACAGUGAAUGGAAAAUCUACAGCGCAGCCAAAUUCUUGGUUUGCUCAAUAGUUAUGCUUGCUGUUAAUCCUUCCAGUUUGUUAAACUUGAUUCUUGUUUCCUGCUCUCCUUUUCUUGUUUUUUGGCAUGGAUUUUACCUGCCCUAGGCAACUUGAAUGGCAUGUUUAAUCUUUUCAAUCAGGUUGUCAUGGAACUGUGAAAAACUAUGCAGUUCUUCAGAAUUAAACAGAUAUUCUCGGAUGUGUCAUUGCAAUAAAAAUAUUGUUCUCAUUUCUAAAAGCCUUCCACAUAUUGCAAUGAGUGUGAAGUUUUUUUUCAAAAGAAGAGCAGAUAGAUUAACAUUUAUUAAUUUAAAUUUAUUAAUUAUUACACAAUAGGCACCCAACUUUGGUUCUUUCAUCCCCAAUAAAUUAGUUAAAAUUAAUGGGGGGGGGGCACGGGAAUCAACAAAAGGGUUCAUUAUGGAUUUUUAUCUUAGUUUUUCUUGGAGACACUAAUUUUUAUUUUAGCAACAGAAAAUUAGCAAUUACAUGCUAGUUUAAUAUUAUUAAAUAAUAAAACAAUAAAUAUUAAACAAUAAUAUAAUUUAUUAUGUCAUUCUGAAGAUUGUAGUAGACCCAUAGAAUAAUAAGAUAUAAUUCUGCCAUCUGCAUUUAAAAGAUAAGGUAUACUCUUGUCCCUUGUUGUCUUGCUUCCUUUGCUAUCACUUAGUGCAAAUUCUAGGCUGUUUAAGUAUGAUUAAAACAAAUAUGGUGGUACUUUACCUCUACCCUGUUUAAAUGUUUUAUUUAAAAGAAAAAUAAUCAUUCUUUAAUAAAAGGAACAAGUAUUAAGUGAUACACUAUAUAAAAUACACAUAGUGCAAAAUAUUCUGCACUGGAAUUCUGCUCUUCUGCUGUUUAAUAGAUUCCCUUCCUAAAAAUAUUUGAUCUGGUUCUAUAGCUGGCACUGAAGUUCUGUGGUCUUUUGGAGUUGGGUGACUUCAAUUGACAUGAUUUCAGGACUUGUUUGAAUAAAGCUUGGGAGUUUAUAACUUCCAUGAGGAUAAUAGGCAUGUCUCAAUACAUACAUAAUACACAAAAGAGGUGAAACUUUUGAGCUAGUUCUUUUUCCUCAGAACAAAUGGGUGUUGAUCAUAUCACUUUCUGCUCCCAAUAAGACUGAUGGCCACUCACAUCUUCCAUAGUAAAAAAGAACAAAUUAGAAUGAUCUGCCUCAGGCACUUUAUGGGUCUGAAUAGUUUCCUAAAGAUAUUUGUGGAAAGUUAUUUUUCAGUGAUCCUGCAAGUAGUCUGCUGAGUCUUGGUUGCCAUAGUAACAGGAUGUGGCCCAUGUGCUUGACAAGAUAGUAGCCUGAACAACCUUUCUCUGUCAGAUACACCCAAUUAGUUCCUUGGGAAGGCUUCUGUGAGAGGAACCAGCAAGAGAAACAUCUGAAAUGCUGGUAGAGAUAGAUAAAUAAUGAAGUUGACCAAGAUCAGUAGGAGUUCAGGUUCAAGCUGAAAAGAAGCAAUGAAAGGGGAAAGAGGAAAAACUCCAUUUUUCUCCAUUGGAAGACUUCCAAAAUAAAGAUGAUUAGCCUGGAAACAAAA